UCCCGCUUAACACGGGCAGUCUCCGUAGAGUGCCACAGCCUGACCUGGGGGCAACUACGAAUAGGGGUUGCGCUCGUUGCAGGACUUAACCUAACACCUCACGGCACGAGCUGACGACAGCCAUGCAGCACCUGUCUUGGCGCUCCCUUGCGGGCACGAGCCGGUUUCCCGGCCCUUCGCCAGAUGUCAAACCCAGGUAAGGUUCUUCGCGUUGCAUCGAAUUGAACCACAUGCUCCACCGCUUGUGCGGGUCCCCGUCAAUCCAUUUGAGUUUCAAUCUUGCGGCCGUACUCCCCAGGCGGGAUACUUAGUGCGUUAGCUGCGGCACAAGAGGGGUCGAUACCUCUUACGCCUAGUAUCCAUCGUUUACAGCUAGGACUAC
This 382-nucleotide unclassified non-coding RNA is filed under the name uncultured delta proteobacterium. Its description in RNAcentral is "contains 16S-23S intergenic spacer region". The record is from RNAcentral. Lineage: Bacteria; Deltaproteobacteria.